AGCAUAUUAAGGUUCCCAAGAAAUUUAUUAAAUAAAUCUUUAGCAGCUCCUUAUGUAGAUUAGAGCAGUCAUGGCGUACAUGAUUUAUUUUUGUGUCUAGUGCAAUUGGUAUACUAAUAUAUGUGGCUAGAGCCAUGAGUAUAACAAUAUGCUAGCAAGAUAUAGUUUUAUUCCAAUGUGGAUAUAUUGGAAUAUAAUUAGUAUUAUAUUUCAAAAGGAAUACUUGAUGUAGAUUUGUUUAUUCUAACAAAUAUUGCCAAAUUUUUUGUUGGUUAUGCAAAUGCGGGCAUUUUCCUGAAGUUCGUUCUUCAAAUAUUCUAUUUGCAUGUGAGAGUACUGUUGUAUUAUUACUUUACAAAGGCAGUUAAUUGUUGAUACUUAUUCAAGUCAUGCCAAGAUAAGCAAUUGAUAAAGCAAGGGGCUCAACACAUAAUAGACAUAUGACUUGACUUUGAAGAGAAGAUUCCAAUAAUACCGAAAAUAAUAUUGUUUUCUUAUAUCAAUUGAAAAAAGGACUAUCGAAGGAGACAAAACACAUUCACCAAAGUUCUUCAACAAAUUCGUUCAAGUGAUAAUUUGACAAACUUCUUCACAAGACAUUGUGGAUCUCCAUAUUAGAGAAGUUGUUAUAUAAGCUUGGAAUUCGUCGUCUCCGAAGAAUAAAGUGAUGUUUUUAUUAGGGGAGGCAAAUACACGCUGUACUCUUUUUCCUUUAGCUAGGAUUUUAUCCCACUAAUUUUUUAGACAAAUACGUGUUGUACUCUUUUUUCCUUAGCUAAGAUUUUAUCUCACUAGAUUUGGAUUUUUUUUCUAGCAAGGUUUUUAAUGAGGCAACAAAUAAUGCGUAUUACAAGAUAUUUGUACUCUUUUUCCUUCACUAAGAUUUUUUUCCAUAGGGUUUUUCUUAGUAAGAUUUUAACGAUGCACAUUAUCUAUAGAAAUCCAAGGGGGAGUAUUAUGAAAUAUUAUUUUGUAGUGGUUGUCUAUAACUCCUAAAGAAGUUACUCCCACUACUCUUCUCCAUUAAGUAGAUAACUCCCACUACUUCUCACCAAUAUAGUUGUAACUCUCACACCUCCAUAACUUCUCCAUGAUCUUCUCCAAUGAUCUCAAUAGUUAAUACCAUGUUUAUGAUAUCCCUUUAUAUACCUCAAUAUCAGCCUAUAAAUAGAGGGUUUGGACAUUAUAUUGGACACACUUGAAUACAUGAAAGAAAUAGAUUCUCUUAUCUCUUUCUCUCUAUAUUAUUAUCUAUCUUUUUUUUCAUAUUAUUACUUUAAACUAAAUCUUGUAAUACUAAUUAAAUUUUCGAGGGCUACAAAGGGUUAUUUUCUCUAACAAAUUCGACUUUGACAAGGAUAGGGAGAGAGAGGAUGAAAUUAGAACUAGUAAGUUUUUCUCAAGCAUGCCAGCCAGGUUUUUUCCUAGUAAGUUCCUUUCUCUUUCCAACUUUAUUUUGUAUUUUAUUGUUUUUAUAUUGCUGUUGAACUAAUAAGGGAAUUUCACAUUAUGAAGUCUUUUUAUGAUACAUAAUUUUGUUCGCUAUUCAUGGCAAUAAUCUGAGAUCUCGUGGCAUUAUAGGCCACAUAUCAAACUAAGAGAACCUUAACUCCGUACACCACUAGUACCUUCCCUUUUUCUUUUCUUUUUUUAAACGAGAAAGAUAACUAAUACUUUCAUCAGUUUAAUGAAUUGUAAAUUUGUGAGCGAUAAAUAAUUUUUUUUAUUUGUCAAAGCCUUGCAUGUCAAAGUUACUCGACUUUAAGAUAAUAGAUACCUGUUGCAAUAGUUAAUGAGCAAUUUAUGUAAAUUAUCCAUUGAACUUAAAGUAAUUAUCCUUUCCUAUCCAUUUAAAAAUUAUUUAGAAUAUGUACUUAUAACCUAAUUAAAACUCACCCCUAUCUACCCACCCAUUACUGUUUGACUUCGCUUUAACUUGGCUUGGCUUAGCUUGCUUUGGCUUGGUUUGGCUGAGUAGCUUAGCUUUAAUUAGCUUUGCUUGGCUUAAAUUGGCUUUUCUAAAUUUGGUUUAGUAGCUAAGCUGAUUUAGUUUUGCUUGACUUAGUAUAGUAGCUUGGCUUGAACUGACUUAGCGUUGCUUGGUUUUGUAGCUUAAUUUGACUUUAUUUGAUUGGCUUUGACUAGGUACUAAAAAAUGAGUAGAGGGCAAACCACCAUGGGGCAAGGGCGGGUAAAUAGUUUCCCCUGCUUGGAUAUUUGCCAAAGAUCGCCAUGCUUGGAUGUUUGCCAAAGAUUGCCAUAGUUAACGCGCACACAAGGUUGGCCCGAAAAUAGCAAGUAAUUUAGUAGGUGUUAGGAUACAAAAUUAAAAGUUUUUAAAAAAAUUAUAUUUGGAGUUAAAUUGAAAAAUGAUAUUUAAAAUUUUUUUAUUUGGAUAUGCAUUUCACUUCAAAAAAAUAUAACAGCCUUUGUGAGUGGAAAAAAAAUCCGAAAAUUUUGAAAAAGUGAUUAAAACCACUUUUUGGUUUUUGAAAAGCCAUUUGGAAAUAAGAAAUCUUUUCUUUUUUUAAAAAAAUUUCAUUUCUUUUUGAAAUCAGCGCUUGUUCAUAAAAUUUUUAAUUUUCACUUGAAGAUGCAUUUUGGAAUUUUUCGAAAAUUUUAAAAACUCCAAAAAAAUAUUUUCCAAAAUUCACUUAGAUCACUCUCUAAACUUCAAAACACCCAAAAUUAUGUUUAUGUCCAAAGACAAUUCUAAUUUUCAAAUAUCAUUUUUAUUUGAAAAUUUUUCAUUUUUUUCGAAUUUUACGAUCCUUAUGUCCAAACGCCCACAAAAAACUCUUUUUCAAAAAAUUUUCAAAAACUCACAAAAUUUCAUGGACAAACACAUUCUUAACCCGUACAACACCAUUAUUGUAGAAAAUAAACAAUACAACUAGUACAUGUGUUUAGCGUGUAAUAAGUCUUCUCUAUCCUGCAAUAAUGAUGACUCCGAUACUCUUUCAACUGUGGACUCUCCUUAUCUAACAAAACAUCUACUCCAUUGUUAUCAAGAAAACUAGCGUAGGAAAAUGCAGUUGCUUUCUUCUUAAAUCUUAAUAGCAGUAUAGCCUCAACCACACCUCAUCUCAGUACUUCACCAAGCUUCUCCAUCAAAAGAAAUUAUCUACAUUUAGUUUGAUAAAAUGGAGACAGAACCAACAUGGCAUGAACUGUUAGGAAGCAACAACUGGGAAGGUCUUCUUGAACCAUUAAAUCUCAAUCUACCACAGCUAAUUCUCCGCUGCGGCGACUUCUGUCAAGUAACUUAUGAUGCUUUUAACAAUGACCAAAAUUCUAAGUAUUGUGGCACCAGCCGUUAUGGCAAGAAUACAAUAACAAUAACAACAACGACAGCUAACUCUCCGCUGCGGCAACUUCUGUCAAGCAACUUAUGAUGCUUUUAACAAUGACCAAAAUUCUAAGUAUUGUGGCACCAGCCGUUAUGGCAAGAAUACAUUCUUCCAAAAAGUCAUGCUAGAAUCUGCUUCCAAUUACAAAAUCUCCGGCUUCCUCUAUGCCACUGCCCGUAUUAGCGCGCUUGGAGCCGUUUUCCUCCACUCUCUGUCUCGCGAAGCUUGGGACAGAGAAUCCAAUUGGAUUGGUUAUAUAGCUGUUACAACUGAUGAAGUCAGCCAAGAACUAGGCCGUAGGGAAAUUUAUGUUGUUUUCCGUGGCACAACAAGGAAUUACGAAUGGAUCAAUGUCUUAGGUGCCCGGUCUGAAUCUGCUGACUCUUUGCUUCGUCCCAAGUCUCUGCAAAAAAUUGGAGUAAAUGGUGAUAACAGCAAAAGCAGCAAUGUUGAUGAUGGGGUAAGUGGUGAUAACAGCAAAAGCAGCAACGAUGUUGAUGAGAAUGAGCCCAAAGUCGCGAAUGGCUGGUUCAAGAUUUUCGCUUCCAGUCUCUGCAAACCUUUGCUUCGUCCCAUUGAUGAGUAUGAGCCCAAAGUCGCGAAUGGCUGGUUCAAGAUUUUCGCUUCCAGUCUCUGCAAACCUUUGCUUCGUCCCAAGUCCUUGCAAAGAGUAGAGUAAACGGUGAUAACAGCAAAAGCAGCAGUGAUGAUGAUGAGAACGAGCCGAAAGUAAUGGAUGGCUGGCUCAAGAUUUAUGUUUCCAACAACCCAAACUCGCCCUUCACGAAACUAAGUGCAAGAGAACAGCUGCAGGCAAAAAUUGAAGAAUUAAGGCAACAGUAUAAAGAUGAGAAAUUAGCUUUUCCAACAACCCAAAUUCGCCCUUUCACAAAACUAAGUGCAAGAGAACUGUAGCUACAAGAUUAUCUAGCUUCAAAUUCUAUACACAUAUAUUUAUUUUUUGAUGUAUAUUUAAUGUAUAUUGCUUGUAUAUCAUGUAUAUCUUGUAGUUACGCUAGAACAUAUAUUUGAGCCCAUUUUUCUUUUGGUAUUAGUUCUGGCCCGAGUUGGCCCACAUAUGUAAUAUAUACACUGACCCCUUUUGUAUUAAGGGUCAGUCGGAUAUUUUCAUUUGAGUAGUUCUUUCUCUUUCUCUGAAACUCUCUCUAGAAGUUUCUACCUAACCGACCCAUCUUCAUCUUCUUCUUCAAUCUUCGUCUGGAUUUCUUAAUGUUUUCAUGGUAUCAGAGCCAGGCCCAUCCCAAUUAUUGUUACCGAUGUUAGCCCUCAUUUAUGUUGUCCACGCUCCAGAGAUCUGGGCGUGAGGGGGUGUUGAGUUGUCCCACAUCGGAGGGAUUUGAGGUCCUUGGUCUCCUUAUAUGGCUUGGGCAAUCAUCACCUCAUAAGCUAGUUUUUAGGGUUGAGUUAGGCCCAAGGUCCAUUCUUUUCAAAAACAGCUGCAGGCAAAAAUUGAAGAAUUAAGGCAGCAGUAUAAAGAUGAGAAUCUUAGCAUAACUUUUACAGGACACAGUCUUGGUGCUAGUCUAGCUACUUUAGCAGCAUUUGAUGUCGUUGAAAAUGGGGUUAAUGAUGUUCCAGUAGCCGCUAUUGUCUUUGGGAGUCCUCAAGUUGGGAACAAGGCUUUUAACGAAAAGAUCAAGGAAUACUCAAAUUUGAAAAUCUUACAUGUUAAGAACAAGAUUGAUCUCAUUCCCCUUUAUUCAAGUGCUCUAUUGGGGUAUGCAAAUACAGGCACAGAACUAGUCAUCGAUAGCAGAAAAUCUCCAAGCUUAAAGGACUCAAGAGAUACGGGUGACUGGCACAACUUGCAGGGUAUGCUACAUGUUGUGGCUGGUUGGAAUGGGGAAGAUAAAGAGUUUGAGCUGAAGGUGAAGAGGAGUGUAGAGUUGGUGAAUAAGUCAUCUUCUUUCUUGAAAGAUGAGUACUUGAUUCCAGGGUCAUGGUGGGUUGAGAAGAAUAGGAGUAUGGUUCUUGAUGAGAAUGGGGAGUGGAUUUUGGCACCACCUUCAGAUGAGGAUCUUCCAGUCCCUGAAUAUUGAAUUGCUUUCAGAAAUAUUUGGAAAUGAGUAGUUUGUUCAGUUUGCAGUUUUCUAGUUGAUUUGAUGGUAAGAGGGGUUGCUCUGAUGGUAAGAAACCCCCACUUCCAAUCGAGAUGUUGUGAGUUCGAGUUUCCCCAAGAGCAAGAUGGGAAGCUCUUGGAGGGAAGGAUGUCGGGGGUCUAUUUGGAAAGAGCCUCUCUACCCCAGGGUAGGGGUAAGGUCUGCGUACACAUUACCUUUCCCAGACCCCACUAAGUGGGAUUAUAGUGGUGGGUUGUUGAUUGUUAGUCUUGCUUCGGACUUGUAAAUGUGAAUGCAUCCAAUGUCUAUCUUGCAAACAAUGUACUCCCUUCAUUUUUCCGUUUCAUAUUAAAUUAGCUACUUUCCUUUUUAGUAUGUUCCAAAAUAAAUGACACAUUUCUAAAUUUGUAAAUAAUUCAAUUUUAAACUCUUCAUUUUACCCUUUUUGCCCUUAAUGAGAAACUUUUAUAGUCACACAAAUUGUAUGGUCCCACAAACUUUUUACCCGUUAAACUUUUAAAACCACAAGUUUCAAAAAUCUUCUUCUUUUUUCUUAAACUCCGUGCCGAGUCAAACUAGCUCAAACAAUAUAAAACAAAGGGAGUAUAUAUUAUCACUAACGUUCUACGGUACUAAUGUCAUGUGAGGUCAGGGCUGAUCCACUAAUUCGGCACCAGGUUCACACGAAUCCAGUAUUUUCGACAUAAAUCAUGUAUUUUUAUGUGAAAACUGCGGAAAAUCUCACAAAAAGUUAAAUUUGAACUCAUAAUUUAAAAAGUACAAUGAGUUCAGUAUGAGUAGACUAGAAGAUUGAACCCAACAAAUUAAGAUCCUACAUCCGUCUCUAAGUGCAACACUCAGCUUAACUUCUGCAAUUCUAAGAACUUAACCCAAAAAAAUAGGGAAAACUAUAUAAUAUACGCGGCCGCAAAAAUAAUUGUCGGCAAAAUGUAUAUUUUUUGGUAUAUUAAUGCAUGGUAUACAUAUUUUACACAUAUCUUUUAUAAAUUGGCUAUCAGAUCUAAUUAUUUUGGACCGACCGCCCAAAUGAGUAACUUGCCCUACAAAAUUACCUAAAGAAUCAUGGCCCAUGCCAAUUAAUCCUCUCUGGUAGACUUGUACAUGCGAAGAAGAAACAAGAUUAAAGAUAAAAAAGGGCUUUUCAAUUGCUCUUCAGUUAUUUCCUUUAAAAUAAAUAAAAUAGUUGAGGAUGAGUUACCUAAUAAGAAUGAUUCUACAACUAUAAACCUUCAUGGCCUCCUUCCCCAGUUCUUACUACUUUUUGUAGCAAGAAAAGAAUAUCUGCAAAACAUUACAUAGACAAUCCAUAUUAUUUUCUGUUUAUAUCUUCUCCAAAUUCUUUUCAUAUUAAUUCGAGCUUAUAACCUAGAUAUCCAAAAAUGUUGAACACAAAUGUAACUGGAUGAGGGUGAAGCAACCUAGGACAUGAAAACAAUAACAAAAGAACUUAAGUAAAAUCAAAAAAAAAAGAAGAAGAAAAUGAGAACAAUCACUCAAAUCUUCAAAGAAUCAUUUAAGCCUUCGACCAAACAAACCAACACCUGCAAGUUGGUCUCAAUCUCUUUCAUUUUACAGAAACACAUGUAGAGGUUUUAAAAAUGUCUGGCUCAAGUUGUAACUGUUGUGUAAAUUUUCAGAUUUUAGAAACAUAAUAUUAAUACUCUCAUACUUCCGCACAAUCAAAAGUAGUGUUCAUACACCUAUUACUGCAGCAAGAAAAUCUCAAACCCAAAAUUGACCAUCUUCUUUGUUCAAGAUGCGUUAAUUAACUGGUAUAUAAAAAACUAUACACAGGAUCUGGAUAUUAAAUAUAACACGAUUAUGCCAGGAAUGUACUCUAUGACUAUUGGGUGCCGGAAAGUUGCAUAACAGUAUCUGUUCCUUGCAUCAAUCAGGAAAAAACCAAGUUUCUUGCAUCAAUCAGGAAAAAAACCAAGGACAACUAGAUAUUGGAAAUUUGUACAAUAUUAUGUGUUCCUUGCAUCAAUCACAAGUCUGGCGUCUGUUUAAGGCUGCCUCAAAGCGGCUCAACGAGCCUGCUCUCAUUUCUGUACACAUGUCAUUCUCUGGCGCCGGAUAGUAAUCUUCUCUCAUGAAACCAAACUCCUUGCAUCAAUCAGCAAAAAAACCAAGGACAGCUAGAUAUUGGAAAUUUGUACAAUAUUAUGUGUUCCUUGCAUCAAUCACAAGUCUGGCGUCUGUUUAAGGCUGCCUCAAAGCGGCUCAACGAGCCUGCUCUCAUUUCUGUACACAUGUCAUUCUCUGGCGCCGGAUAGUAAUCUUCUCUCAGCUGUACAUCUCUUAGGUUUGGGAUUCUAAGUAGGAACAUCAUGAAAUGUUCAUGCGCUGUUCCAUGGACGAACAACUUUCUGAGCGUAAGGCAUUCUUGGAGCAGCCCAGCUGCCGGCAGUGAUAGACUCCUUUGGUUAACAAUCUUGUGGUGGCCAAUAAUCAAGCUCCCUGAGAUUCAAAUGGCCAAUCCCAAAGAGAUAAAACCGUUCUCACAAGCUCAAAUCCAUCUGCCCAGAUGGGGCAGUGUGUGCAUAACCUAUGAUAUCCCCACAAUCCAAAUGCAUCUUCACAAGCUUAGGGAACCGUGUAAGGGUGCUCAACCCAAAUGCCCUCUCUGAAGGUUUUGGCCAUAGCCUACAAUCUCCUUCUACCUUAAUCUUAAUCUCUUCCAAAAUAGGGCAAUCUUGAAGACCUGCAGCUGCUAAAGGAGUCAAAAGCUCACCAACACCAAUCCAAAGUGAGAGAUACUGCAGCCUGUCCCAUGUUCGUUCACCAUAUCCAUUGCCAUGUCCAUUCUCUUCCACGUAAACACUUUGCAAAGAGUAGAGUAAACGGUAUGUUCGUUCACCAUAUCCAUUGCCAUGUCCAUUCUCUUCCACGUAAACACUAUUAAGAUCAUAGGAGUACUUGCAUCUUUUAUUCCUGUUAAACAUGAGAUCGUCAUCAACUGAUCCAGAUGCGUCCCCGAUCCCAGCAGGAUGGCUUAAUGCCUCACCGCCAUUUGCCUUAUUGAGAUCAAACCCGUAUUCAACACAACCAUCAAGAUUUUCAAUUUCUUCAACACUAUCCCACACACAAUCAAUAUGAAGCCUCUCGAUACGUUCUUGUAUCGGUUCCAAUGCUUUCAACGAAGAAUAUGCUCCAAGAUUUUUGCAACAACAUAUACUGACAUCAACCAAACUUUUCCGGAGCAAAGAAGCUAGUGUUCUCAUUCCUCUCAUCGUGAUCUUCUUACAAUUCCGAAUCUCAAACUUGGCCAAUCUUGUACACCCUCUACCAAUUGCAAUCAAACCCAUAUCAUUCAGAUCACCCACAUUCCUAAUCGAUAAAGAUUCUAAUCCCGGACAAAGCGCAACACCAUCCAACUUUGACUCAAUUGGCAUAGAAAUGCCAUGAAAUUGUCCCAACUUCAACAAUUUCAACUUGGGACAUUUCUUGUUCAGCACUUCCAAAGCAGGACCACUAUCUCUAACAUUAAUAGAAACAUCUAAUACAAGCUCUUCAAGUAAAGGAAGACCCGAAAAUACCUCAAUCAAAGUAGAAACACUAAUUUUCCCAUCGUCGAUACUAAACCCCUCUUCAUCUAGAUCACUCGCACUCCUGCAAUUAGACAAAACAGACGUAUCCGCUAAAUGAAGCACAGAUAAUUUGGGACAAUUUUUAGCUAUGCAUACCAAAGCCUCAUCACCAACAAAACCAAUGUAUCUAGGAUCAAACAUACAAACAACCUUAAAAUCUUUCAAAUAAGGACAGCAUUUAGUGAUGACUCUAAUCUCAUCCGUCUUAAAACCUUCCGAAAAUGAAGCGUUUAAGAGAUUUAAUACAGUCAUGUUACUGGCAACAACAGGAUUCGAUUCAAGGGCUGGUGGUAAAUGCUCAGUCCAACAAUAAAAAGUAGAUAAGCCAAGCGAGGCCAGUUGCGAGCACCCUUGAAAUAGUAAGUUGAACUCAUCCCCACUAGCUAACUGCGGACGCUGGUGCCAUCGGACAAGCUUGAUAUGCUUAAGCUGGGGCCACUGGAUGGGCAAGAGCUGGAGCGUGUGCAGGUCACGCGCGUAGACAGUGAGUGAACUGACUGAAGGAAAUGCGUGGAGGAGAAGGUGUGCGAUGAGGGUUGAAUCAUCAGCGCCGUCGUUAUCUGCGGCGGCGCGUGGAGAGAGGAGGGGAUUGCCCCAAGGGGAGAGGAGCGAGAGGUCGAGAUGAGUAACGGAUCGGAAGCAAGUGGGGAGCAUGAAAAGGUCGUUCCUGCUGCCUCGGAGCGUGAGGGAAGUGCGGGUGGAACGUUCUAGGACGAGCCAUUUACGGCAGACCAGGGCGGCGACGUUGCGGCUGCGGACGUCGGAGACGGCGGCGAUUAUGUUGGAAAGUAUUACGUCGGGGAGGUCAUUGAGAGUAGUGGGUCUAGCUGAAGUUGCCAUUGAAAAAAGUUUGUUGAAAAAUGAUGAGUCGUGAAUGAGAAUUGGAGGAUUAUGGGGUUUUUGAAACUCAAUAAACUAUUGGUGUGUUUGUGGGGGUGAGGGUGGGGUGUGGGAUAGAGCAGGAUGCUGGGUUGCAGGGAAUGGGACGAUGAGCAAGACCCAUGUGAGUGUCACGUACCCGUUUGACAUUGGAACUUAAAACAAGAUAACAUUCGUGUUAGAUGACUUCAAAUUUUAAACCAAUAAUUAUUUUUUUUUUAAACUUCCCACGGUAAUUUAUAGAUGAAAUUAAGCCUUUUGAGAGUGUAGAAUGUUAGUUGUGCAUCCCACGCCAACUAUCAUUUUGUGAAAAAAUUGUCACUGUUAUGAAAUAAUAUAAGAACUAGAACAAUAAUACAAGAAUCAAGAACAAUAGAGAGAAAAAUAGAGAGAGUAGUAUUCUUAUUGAUAUUUUGGGAUGGUUAGGGAAUGUUUACAAUGGUAGAAGACCCCUUUAUUUAUAGGGAGAAGUAAACCCUAGAAUCUCUCUAAUAAAUCACCCACAUUCCUAAUCGAUAAAGAUUCUAAUCCCGGACAAAGCGCAACACCAUCCAACUUUGACUCAAUUGGCAUAGAAAUGCCAUGAAAUUGUCCCAACUUCAACAAUUUCAACUUGGGACAUUUCUUGUUCAGCACUUCCAAAGCAGGACCACUAUCUCUAACAUUAAUAGAAACAUCUAAUACAAGCUCUUCAAGUAAAGGAAGACCCGAAAAUACCUCAAUCAAAGUGGAAACACUAAUUUUCCCAUCGUCGAUACUAAACCCCUCUUCUUCUAGAUCACUCUCACUCCUGCAAUUAGACAAAACAGACGUAUCCGCUAAAUGAAGCACAGAUAAUUUGGGACAAUUUUUAGAUAUAUAUACCAAAGCCUCAUCACCAACAAAACCAAUGUAUCUAGGAUCAAACAUACAAACAACCUUAAAAUCUUUCAAAUAAGGACAGCAUUUAGUGAUGACUCUAAUCUCAUCCGUCUUAAAACCUUCCGAAAAUGAAGCGUUUAAGAGAUUUAAUACAGUCAUGUUACUGGCAACAACAGGAUUCGAUUCAAGGGCUGGUGGUAAAUCCUCAGUCCAACAAUAAAAAGUAGAUAAGUCAAGCGACGCCAGUUGCGAGCACCCCUGAAACAGUAAGUUGAACUCAUCCCCACUAGCUAAUUGCGGACGCUGGUGCCAUCGGACAAGCUUGAUAUGCUUAAGCUGGGGCCACUGGAUGGGCAAGAGCUGGAGCGCGUGCGGGUCACGCGCGUAGACAGUGAGUGAACUGACUGCAGGAAAUGCGUGGCGGAGAAGGUGGGCGAUGAGGGUUGAAUCAUCAGCGCCGUCGUUAUCUCCGGCGGCGCGUGGAGAGAGGAGGGGAUAGCCCCAAGGUGAGAGAAGCGAGAGGUCGAGAUGAGUAACGGAUCGGAAGCAAGUGGGGAGCAUGAAAAGGUCGUUCCUG
This 11359-nucleotide long non-coding RNA is filed under the name Nicotiana benthamiana. Its description in RNAcentral is "long non-coding RNA (NBEN_LNC011185)". Lineage: Eukaryota; Viridiplantae; Streptophyta; Magnoliopsida; Solanales; Solanaceae. The record is from RNAcentral.